UGCCUAACACAUGCAAGUCGAACGGUAACAGGUCUUCGGAUGCUGACGAGUGGCGCACGGGUGAGUAACGCGUGGAUAUCUGCCUAUGAGUGGGGGACAACUUUCGGAAACGAAAGCUAAUACCGCAUAAUCUCUACGGAGCAAAGCAGGGGACCUUUCGGGGCCUUGUGCUUAUAGAUGAGUCCGCGUCAGAUUAGCUAGUYGGUGGGGUAAGAGCCUACCAAGGCGAUGAUCUGUAGCUGGUUUGAGAGGAUGAUCAGUCACACUGGAACUGAGACACGGUCCAGACUCCUACGGGAGGCAGCAGUGGGGAAUUUUGCACAAUGGGCGCAAGCCUGAUGCAGCGAUGCCGCGUGUGGGAAGAAGGCCUUUGGGUUGUAAACCACUUUCAAUUGGGAAGAAGGGAUGAGUAUUAAUAAUACUCUGACUUGACGGUACCUUUAGAAGAAGCACCGGCUAAUUUCGUGCCAGCAGCCGCGGUAAUACGAAAGGUGCAAGCGUUGUUCGGAUUUACUGGGCGUAAAGAGAUCGUAGGUGGUUUGUUAAGUUAGAUGUGAAAUCCCGGGGCUCAACCUCGGAACUGCAUCUAAAACUGGCAGACUUGAGUUCGGGAGGGGUAAGCGGAAUUCCGUGUGUAGCAGUGAAAUGCGUAGAUAUACGGAGGAACACCUGAGGCGAAGGCGGCUUACUGGACCGAUACUGACACUGAGGAUCGAAAGCGUGGGUAGCAAACAGGAUUAGAUACCCUGGUAGUCCACGCCCUAAACGAUGUCAACUAGCCGUUGCGGGUAUCGACCCCUGCAGUGGCGCAGCUAACGCGAUAAGUUGACCGCCUGGGGAGUACGGUC
This 848-nucleotide ribosomal RNA is filed under the name uncultured Zetaproteobacteria bacterium. RNAcentral's name for it is "bacterial SSU rRNA". It matches the Rfam family "Bacterial small subunit ribosomal RNA", at positions 45 to 887 of the family's 1533-position model. Lineage: Bacteria; Pseudomonadati; Pseudomonadota; Candidatius Mariprofundia. The record is from RNAcentral.